This 3034-nucleotide long non-coding RNA is filed under the name Homo sapiens (human). Its description in RNAcentral is "non-protein coding lnc-ADAM20-2:1". The record is from RNAcentral. Lineage: Eukaryota; Metazoa; Chordata; Mammalia; Primates; Hominidae.
CUGCAUUUUAUUUAUUUCAGCCUUCUCUCUCUUUUUUUCUUAGUCUAGAUAAAGGCUUGUGGAUUUUGUUUUUUAAACCAGCUCUUCAUUUCAUUGAUCUUUAUUUUAGUCUUUUUUUGUUUAUUUCUUCUCUGAGCUUUAUUAUUUCCUUUUUAGAUUGCCAAUUUUGCCAAUUUUGAGUUUGGUUUGUUCCUGCUUAUCUCUCGCCUAAGUCUUAAAGAUUAAGAGCUUGUGAACAGAAUAUUGGCAGAAAUAUGGACAAUGAAGGCCUUUCUGAUGAGGUCUCAGAUGGAAAUGAGGAAUAUCUUAUUAGAAACUGAAGGCUUGAGAAAAAUGUCCUUAAGUGUCGUAAACUUGCAUCAAACCCACUUACUCAUCAAACCCCACUUAUGACUUCCCUUAGAGGACAAGCGACAUUUCAGCUCAGUUAUACACUGCUUUUCUCAAUUCCUGCCAUUUUUUUCUCUUCCUUUGCCCCCUGGCCUACGUCUCCAGCUCACUGAAAACAGCCUCCCCUGAUGAGCACACCAUUGUUAUGUAAUAGCCUAACCCUUACCCCUCGCCUAUCAGGGGGUGCCAAGCCUGCAGACUCACUCUGCCUUCCUCAAAACUGCCCUGAGGAGAAGGCUGAAGACUGAGGAAUCCUCUUUCUGCCUCCCAUUUGACUGCAUUUUCUUUGGUCAAAGGCUUCCUUAUUCAUGGGACCUGCCUGGGUCCAGGACCCCUUGACAGGUGCUCUCUGGCUGCCUGUCCUCUGGGCACUCUUGUCCCAGGUCUAUUGUUUUCAUGACCCACCAGGAUGGCGCUUCACUUCCUCAGAAAUUGUGAUCCCCAGGAAAGUGCCCCACAAGAGGGGUGGAGUUGAGAUGCCAGACCAGCUCUCUUACAGCAUGCGUUUCCGGGGCCAAAGACACGUGAUUCACAUGAAGCUCAAGAAGAACAUGAUGCCCAGACAUUUACCUGUUUUUACUGAUAAUGACCAAGGGGCCAUGCAGGAGAACUACCCUUUUGUCCCACGAGACUGUUACUAUGACUGCUACCUGGAAGGGGUUCCUGGGUCUGCGGCCACAUUGGACACCUGCCGUGGAGGUCUGCAUGGCAUGCUGCAGGUGGAUGACUUGACUUACGAAAUCAAACACCUGGAGGCUUCUUCCAAAUUUGAGCAUGUAGUAUCUCUGCUUGUGUCAGAAGAAAGACCAGGAGAGGCUAGUAGAUGUAAGACUGAAGGGGAAGAGAUAGAUCAAGAAUCUGAAAAGGUAAAACUGGCUGAAACUCCCAGAGCAGGCCACGUUUAUUUGUGGAGGCAUCAUAGAAAAAACUUGAAAAUUCACUACACGGUUACUCGUGGAUUAUUCAUGCGGAACCCUAAUGUGUCACAUAUAAUAGAGAAUGUAGUGAUUAUUAACAGCAUCAUACAUACCAUUUUCAAACCAGUUUAUUUAAAUGUCUAUAUAUGUGUUUUGUGCAUAUGGAAUCAAAAGGAUGCAGUACUAUUUUCUGCUAGCAGGCCAGGCCACGUUGCUGUAGAACUGUUUGGUGUGUGGAAAUAUCACAAUUUGUAUUCAGAAAUUUCACAUGAUACCUCAGUUGUUUUUACAUCAAAUCGACUUGGAAACAGUGAGUGUUAUGCCAGCUUUGAUGGAAUAUGCACCCCCAACUGGGGAGCAAUGUUUGUGUAUAUAAUGAGGUAUCACCUAUUUAGGGGGGCAUGUGUUACAGCACAUGCACUAGGUCAUAACAUGGGCUUGAGACAUGAUUCUGUUGGUUGUUAUUGUUUUCGACGAACCAACUGUCUCAUGACCCUGUUCCUGAUCUUAAUGAUAUGAUGAGCAAUUGUUCUUAUGAGAUAAUUCAACGCAAGUUUAAUCAAUGGGAUCCUUGUUUGAGUGCUCCAAAUGUUCCAUACACUAAUUUUCCAUACGUAGCUCCUCGUUGUGGAGACAAGAUCAAAAAUCAGAGGGAAGAAUGUGACUGUGGCUCCCUUAAAGAUUGUGCCAGUGAUAGAUGUUGUGAGACCUCUUGUACCCUUUCUCUUGGCAGUGUUUGCAAUACAGGACUUUGCUGCCAUAAGUGUAAAUAUGCUGCCCCUGGAGUGGUUUGCAGAGACUUGGGUGGUAUAUGUGAUCUACCGGAAUACUGUGAUGGGAAAAAGGAAGAGUGUCCAAAUGACAUCUACAUCCAGGAUGGAACCCCAUGUUCAGCAGUAUCUGUUUGUAUAAGAGGAAACUGCAGUGACCGUGAUAUGCAGUGUCAAGCCCUUUUUGGCUACCAAGUGAAAGACGGUUCCCCAGCGUGCUAUCGAAAAUUGAAUAGGAUUGGUAACCGAUUUGGAAACUGUGGGGUUAUUCUACGGCGAGGGGGAAGUAGACCUUUUCCAUGUGAAGAAGAUGAUGUUUUUUGUGGAAUGUUGCACUGUAGCGGUGUCAGCCACAUUCCCGGUGGAGGUGAGCACACUACAUUUUGUAAUAUAUUAGUACACGACAUAAAAGAAGAAAAAUGCUUUGGCUAUGAAGCACACCAGGGGACAGACUUGCCAGAAAUGGGGCUGGUAGUGGAUGGUGCAACCUGUGGCCCAGGGAGCUACUGUCUUAAACGCAAUUGUACUUUUUAUCAAGACCUGCAUUUUGAGUGUGAUCUUAAAACAUGCAAUUACAAAGGAGUAUGUAACAACAAAAAACAUUGUCAUUGUCUGCAUGAGUGGCAACCACCAACAUGUGAACUGAGAGGAAAAGGAGGUAGUAUAGAUAGUGGCCCUCUACCUGACAAACAAUAUCGUAUUGCAGGCAGCAUACUUGUAAAUACAAACCGAGCACUAGUUUUAAUAUGUAUUCGUUACAUCCUUUUUGUGGUUUCGCUUCUCUUUGGUGGCUUUUCACAAGCAAUACAAUGUUAGGGAAGAGAAAGGAAAAGAGCCCACACAAUGGAGUAAAUUACAUUGACACUUACUGGGAGAUAUAAUCAAUAGUCACUCUGACAAUUACAUCAUCUUUUAGCAAUUCUGAUGUCAUCUUGAAAUAAAAUCACUUGGCAAUUU